Molecule: ribosomal RNA, 253 nt
Filed under: uncultured bacterium
Lineage: Bacteria
Description: partial 16S ribosomal RNA
Rfam family: Bacterial small subunit ribosomal RNA
Source: RNAcentral
UACGUAGGGUGCGAGCGUUAAUCGGAAUUACUGGGCGUAAAGCGUGCGCAGGCGGUUUUGUAAGCCAGAUGUGAAAUCCCCGGGCUCAACCUGGGAAUGGCAUUUGGGACUGCAAGGCUGGAGUUUGGCAGAGGAGACUGGAAUUCCUGGUGUAGUGGUGAAAUACGUAGAGAUUGGGAAGAACACCAGUGGCGAAGGCGGCUAUCUGGACGGUUUCUGACGCUAAGACGCGAAAGCGUGGGGAGCAAACAGG